This 433-nucleotide ribosomal RNA is filed under the name uncultured bacterium. RNAcentral's name for it is "partial 16S ribosomal RNA". It matches the Rfam family "Bacterial small subunit ribosomal RNA", at positions 29 to 507 of the family's 1533-position model. The record is from RNAcentral.
AACGAACGCUGGCGGCAUGCCUAACACAUGCAAGUCGAACGAGACCUUCGGGUCUAGUGGCGCACGGGUGCGUAACGCGUGGGAACCUGCCCUUAGGUUCGGAAUAACUCCCCGAAAGGGGUGCUAAUACCGGAUAAUGUCUUCGGACCAACGAUUUAUCGCCUUUGGAUGGGCCCGCGUUGGAUUAGCUAGUUGGUAGGGUAAAAGCCUACCAAGGCGACGAUCCAUAGCUGGUCGGAGAGGAUGAUCAGCCACACUGGGACUGAGACACGGCCCAGACUCCUACGGGAGGCAGCAGUGGGGAAUAUUGGACAAUGGGCGAAAGCCUGAUUCAGCAAUGCCGCGUGAGUGAUGAAGGCCUUAGGGUUGUAAAGCUCUUUUACCCGGGAUGAUAAUGACAGUACCGGGAGAAUAAGCACCGGCUAACUCCGUG